Molecule: ribosomal RNA, 253 nt
Filed under: uncultured Eubacteriales bacterium
Lineage: Bacteria; Bacillati; Bacillota; Clostridia; Eubacteriales
Description: uncultured Clostridiales bacterium partial 16S ribosomal RNA
Rfam family: Bacterial small subunit ribosomal RNA
Source: RNAcentral
UACGUAGGGGGCAAGCGUUAUCCGGAUUUACUGGGUGUAAAGGGAGCGUAGACGGUGAUGCAAGUCAGAAGUGAAAGCCCGGGGCUCAACUCCGGGACUGCUUUUGAAACUGUGUGACUGGAGUGCAGGAGAGGUAAGCGGAAUUCCUAGUGUAGCGGUGAAAUGCGUAGAUAUUAGGAGGAACACCAGCGGCGAAGGCGGCUUACUGGACCGUAACUGACGCUCAGGCACGAAAGCGUGGGUAUCGAACAGG